GAAAGAACGCAGCGAAAUGCGAUAAGUAGUGUGAAUUGCAGAAUUCAGUGAAUCAUCGAAUCUUUGAACGCACAUUGCGCCCCUUGGUAUUCCAUGGGGCAUGCCUGUUCGAGCGUCAUUUGUACCUUCAAGCUCUGCUUGGUGUUGGGUGAUUGUCUAUCUUUUUAGACUCGCCUUAAAGUCAUUGGCAGCCGGCAUAUUGGCCUGGGAGCGCAGCACAAGUCGCGCUUCUUGUCAUGAAUGUUGGCGUCCAGUAAGUCUACAUAUUUUGCUCUUGACCUCGGAUCAGGUAGGGAUACCCGCUGAACUUAAGCAUAUCAAUAAGCGGAGGA
RNAcentral lists this unclassified non-coding RNA (332 nucleotides) under soil metagenome. Its description in RNAcentral is "partial contains 5.8S ribosomal RNA, internal transcribed spacer 2, and large subunit ribosomal RNA". The stretch from base 3 to 118 matches the Rfam family "5.8S ribosomal RNA", at positions 39 to 154 of the family's 154-position model. The record is from RNAcentral.